RNAcentral lists this ribosomal RNA (495 nucleotides) under uncultured bacterium. Its description in RNAcentral is "partial 16S ribosomal RNA". It matches the Rfam family "Bacterial small subunit ribosomal RNA", at positions 28 to 507 of the family's 1533-position model. The record is from RNAcentral.
GACGAACGCUGGCGGCGUGCCUAAUACAUGCAAGUAGAACGCUGAAGGAGGAGCUUGCUUCUCUGGAUGAGUUGCGAACGGGUGAGUAACGCGUAGGUAACCUGCCUGGUAGCGGGGGAUAACUAUUGGAAACGAUAGCUAAUACCGCAUAAGAGUAGAUGUUGCAUGACAUUUGCUUAAAAGGUGCAAUUGCAUCACUACCAGAUGGACCUGCGUUGUAUUAGCUAGUUGGUGGGGUAACGGCUCACCAAGGCGACGAUACAUAGCCGACCUGAGAGGGUGAUCGGCCACACUGGGACUGAGACACGGCCCAGACUCCUACGGGAGGCAGCAGUAGGGAUUCUUCGGCAAUGGACGGAAGUCUGACCGAGCAACGCCGCGUGAGUGAAGAAGGUUUUCGGAUCGUAAAGCUCUGUUGUAAGAGAAGAACGAGUGUGAGAGUGGAAAGUUCACACUGUGACGGUAUCUUACCAGAAAGGGACGGCUAACUACGUG